AAGUGGGGACGACCCCACCGCUCUAUUUUCCACCGGGGACGGCCCUG
RNAcentral lists this non-coding RNA (47 nucleotides) under Fuerstiella marisgermanici. Its description in RNAcentral is "Fuerstia marisgermanicae Guanidine-II sequence". It matches the Rfam family "Guanidine-II riboswitch aptamer (mini-ykkC)". Rfam says of the family: Simpler in structure and has fewer highly conserved nucleotide positions than the ykkC-yxkD leader. Lineage: Bacteria; Pseudomonadati; Planctomycetota; Planctomycetia; Planctomycetales; Planctomycetaceae. The record is from Rfam by way of RNAcentral.